This is a small nucleolar RNA of Meriones unguiculatus (Mongolian gerbil), 132 nucleotides long. Lineage: Eukaryota; Metazoa; Chordata; Mammalia; Rodentia; Muridae. The record is from Ensembl.
CAGGUUCCUAGUGGCUUUGAAGGUAUGACUCUUGUGUCACAUGUGUUUCGAUAGGUGACAAAGAGGAGAGAAACUAUGUCUGUGCUCAGUGUUCUGACCUAUGAAUAUCUGAAUGUUCAGUAGCCUAAUAUU